GCUGUUGGUGGAGGGUUAAAAAAUGUAAUUUCUGGAUUGAGUAAUGUGUAGGGGGAGGAAAGUAGAGAACGUACAACUGGAACUUGACGCAGCUAGCUGGGAACAAGCGUCAGCUUCUGUAAACAGCUCCAUGCUAUUGUUUUAACCAAAUCAAGUGUGGAUCAGGGUAGAAGCGUAGGUAUGAUUUAAGAUAGUAACUAAGGAAUAGGAUAAUCAGUAUCUAGGGGUGGGGGUUAGUUAACAUGUGUAUAAUUUAAACUAUAAAAAUCACGAAUCGACUCUGUAUCCUUUGGACAUCAGAUUUGGGUGUAUUAUCACCCCGGUGUCCCGCGCGCUGGAAUAAAGAACCGCAUAUGAUCGCCUCUGUGUGGUUAUAUGUUUUCCUACGCUAACAUUUUUGGCGACCCAGAUGGGACCUUGUGGGCGCAGCCAGGACCCCACGACCCGAUCACGCUCCAGCCGGCACCGGGUGAUUUCUCGGGGAGCCCAUCGGAGCCGCGACCCUCGCCGCUCACAACGACCCCUGGUGAGAGCUCGGCUCCGAAGUGUUCUCGUGUGGAACAGACCACUGGCCCUGGAGAAUCCAGUCCACAAUAUCGAACCAGGAGAUGAGGUAUACAUCAAAACCUGGAACGAAGAACCACUAAAAGAGAAGUGGACUGGUCCCCAUCAGGUACUGCUAACCACCUUUACAGCAGUCAAAGUGGCUGGAGUGGAACCCUGGAUACACUACACGCGUGUGAAGAAGGUCCCUCGUGGAGUCCAGUCGUGGGCUGUAGAAACUUUUGGACCAACAAAGCUGAGGCUGAAACGUCUGUAACUGUUCAAAUGGUAUUGGUAACUGUGCUCAUGCUCUUCCUGUGGGUAAUGUUAAUUUCAUGGAUACUAAUGUCACCAGUAGGGAUUGCUGUUACUUUGGGAUAUGGGAUACAGAAGGGUCAACUAACAACUCUUCAUUCUAGAAUGAAGAGAGAGAUACAGGCAAAAACACAAGUAAUAGAAAUUUCUAAUGAAAUUCGGGCUGAGAAUGUAAUGAUUGGAUUGGUCAGAGACUUUGCCAAAAU
Molecule: long non-coding RNA, 1064 nt
Organism: Prinia subflava (tawny-flanked prinia)
Lineage: Eukaryota; Metazoa; Chordata; Aves; Passeriformes; Cisticolidae
Exons: 2
Source: RefSeq, a predicted model, not a curated record